UGGGGAAUAUUGGACAAUGGGCGCAAGCCUGAUCCAGCCAUGCCGCGUGAGUGACGAAGGCCCUAGGGUUGUAAAGCUCUUUUGUGCGGGAAGAUAAUGACGGUACCGCAAGAAUAAGCCCCGGCUAACUUCGUGCCAGCAGCCGCGGUAAUACGAAGGGGGCUAGCGUUGCUCGGAAUCACUGGGCGUAAAGGGUGCGUAGGCGGGUCUUUAAGUCAGGGGUGAAAUCCUGGAGCUCAACUCCAGAACUGCCUUUGAUACUGAAGAUCUUGAGUCCGGGAGAGGUGAGUGGAACUGCGAGUGUAGAGGUGAAAUUCGUAGAUAUUCGCAAGAACACCAGUGGCGAAGGCGGCUCACUGGCCCGGUACUGACGCUGAGGCACGAAAGCGUGGGGAGCAAACAGGAUUAGAUACCCCAGUAGUCCCUGAGCGGGCUGGCAAGGCGCAU
Molecule: ribosomal RNA, 447 nt
Filed under: uncultured bacterium
Lineage: Bacteria
Description: bacterial SSU rRNA
Rfam family: Bacterial small subunit ribosomal RNA
Source: RNAcentral